RNAcentral lists this small RNA (461 nucleotides) under Drosophila mojavensis. RNAcentral describes it as "GI26797". Lineage: Eukaryota; Metazoa; Arthropoda; Insecta; Diptera; Drosophilidae. The record is from RNAcentral.
UAUUUUACAAUAAUUGCUUGCGUCUAGGACCAAAUUUUGAAGUUGAUUCCAUGUACAGGUGGCUGUUGCUGCUACUGCUGCUGCCGCUGCAACUAACGGUUAUCAGUGAUAUAAAUGGCAAUUAUGUGAGCACAAGCGUCUUCUGUCAUCGCCAAUGUCCGGCCUAUUUGGGAUCCGAUGGCAGUUGCAAUUUAAAUUCAAUCUCCGCCCAAGGCAAAUCAGUGCAAAGCGUUACGGCGGAGCGUUUGCAGUUGAACCCAGGUUUCAUUCUGCUGGAGAGUGUCUUCGUUUGGUUGGGCGCUCGCCUGUUGAUUGCCUAGCAUCAAUUCAACAUAGCCUUGUGCUAAUUGUGCUACUUAUAUGGAGUACAUGCUGAAUUGGGAAUACUGGAAUCUCUACUAAGUUGACGUGUUGCUGUGAUAUACUUCUUAUUACAGAAAUGUUCAAAGGAGAGCGUUAUU